Molecule: ribosomal RNA, 468 nt
Filed under: uncultured bacterium
Lineage: Bacteria
Description: partial 16S ribosomal RNA
Rfam family: Bacterial small subunit ribosomal RNA
Source: RNAcentral
GACGAACGCUGGCGGCGUGCUUAACACAUGCAAGUCGAACGGAAAGGCCCUGCUUUUGUGGGGUGCUCGAGUGGCGAACGGGUGAGUAACACGUGAGUAACCUGCCCUUGACUUUGGGAUAACUUCAGGAAACUGGGGCUAAUACCGGAUAGGAGCUCCUGCUGCAUGGUGGGGGUUGGAAAGUUUCGGCGGUUGGGGAUGGACUCGCGGCUUAUCAGCUUGUUGGUGGGGUAGUGGCUUACCAAGGCUUUGACGGGUAGCCGGCCUGAGAGGGUUACCGGCCACAUUGGGACUGAGAUACGGCCCAGACUCCUACGGGAGGCAGCAGUGGGGAAUAUUGCACAAUGGGCGGAAGCCUGAUGCAGCAACGCCGCGUGCGGGAUGACGGCCUUCGGGUUGUAAACCGCUUUCGCCCGUGACGAAGCGUGAGUGACGGUAAUGGGUAAAGAAGCACCGGCUAACUACGUG